AGUGAACGCUGGCGGUAGGCCUAACACAUGCAAGUCGAACGGCAGCACAGUAAGAGCUUGCUCUUACGGGUGGCGAGUGGCGGACGGGUGAGGAAUACAUCGGAAUCUACUUUUUCGUGGGGGCUAACGUAGGGAAACUUACGCUAAUACCGCAUACGACCUACGGGUGAAAGCAGGGGAUCUUCGGACCUUGCGCGAUUGAAUGGGCCGAUGUCGGAUUAGCUAGUUGGCGGGGUAAAGGCCCACCAAGGCGACGAUCCGUAGCUGGUCUGAGAGGAUGAUCAGCCACACUGGAACUGAGACACGGUCCAGACUCCUACGGGAGGCAGCAGUGGGGAAUAUUGGACAAUGGGCGCAAGCCUGAUCCAGCCAUACCGCGUGGGUGAAGAAGGCCUUCGGGUUGUAAAGCCCUUUUGUUGGGAAAGAAAAGCAGCAGGUUAAUACCCCGCUGUUCUGACGGUACCCAAAGAAUAAGCACCGGCUAACUUCGUG
This 492-nucleotide ribosomal RNA is filed under the name uncultured bacterium. RNAcentral describes it as "partial 16S ribosomal RNA". It matches the Rfam family "Bacterial small subunit ribosomal RNA", at positions 29 to 507 of the family's 1533-position model. The record is from RNAcentral.